GUGAAUAUAGCGUGUCUUCGGAGCGCGACUCUCACUUUACACACUGUGCAUUCUUUCAGCAGAUGGACAAGACUUUCGGGUCGAGUCCCUGCGCUCUCAUUAAACACGAGUUAAUGUAUGUGAAAAUUACAAAACAAAGAA
Molecule: non-coding RNA, 141 nt
Organism: Microbotryomycetes sp. JL201
Lineage: Eukaryota; Fungi; Basidiomycota; Microbotryomycetes
Source: the annotation of a GenBank genome assembly